CCUACGUGGUGCUGCAGUGAGGAAUAUUGGUCAAUGGGCGCGAGCCUGAACCAGCCAAGUAGCGUGAAGGAUGACUGCCCUACGGGUUGUAAACUUCUUUUAUAAAGGAAUAAAGUGAGGCACGUGUGCCUUUUUGUAUGUACUUUAUGAAUAAGGAUCGGCUAACUCCGUGCCAGCAGCCGCGGUAAUACGGAGGAUCCGAGCGUUAUCCGGAUUUAUUGGGUUUAAAGGGAGCGUAGAUGGGUUGUUAAGUCAGUUGUGAAAGUUUGCGGCUCAACCGUAAAAUUGCAAUUGAGACUGGCAGUCUUGAGUACAGUUGAGGUAGGCGGAAUUCGUGGUGUAGCGGUGAAAUGCUUAGAGAUCACGAAGAACUCCGAUUGCGAAGGCAGCUUACUAAACUGCCACUGACAUUGAUGCUCGAAAGUGUGGGUAUCAAACAGGAUUAGAUACCCUGGUAGUC
This 460-nucleotide ribosomal RNA is filed under the name uncultured bacterium. RNAcentral's name for it is "partial 16S ribosomal RNA". It matches the Rfam family "Bacterial small subunit ribosomal RNA", at positions 338 to 795 of the family's 1533-position model. The record is from RNAcentral.